GGUCCGAUACAUAAAAUUAUAGUCAUAGGGAAAACAAUCAUCGAAGAGUUUUUGGAAGGUGAGUCUUUUUUUUUCGAAUAAUUGUUAACGAAUUCAUCAAGUACUUUCCUACAAAAUCGCUCUGCCAGCAGAACCAGUCUUUUCCGACAAGGAUCGUUCACCAAAAAUGAGCCAACUCGAAGGUCCCAAUAGCAACCUCUGCAAAUUGGGAACUCCGUUACUCAAGUCCACCUCAGCAAGAGUGUCCACAUGUGUUCUUGUUCAACAUCGACUGGAACUCCUGCUUAAGAAAAACGGAUUCAAAAAUAGCUCCCGGUUGAAGGAAAAAAUAUUGGUUUCCUAGCAGUGAAAUUUUAUUGCUCUACCAUGGCAUCGGGAGCAAACCGCUUCUAACGAACGAAUACUUUAAGAAAAGGAAGAGAAAUUUCACAGGACUCUUUUUUCGGUUGAAGGACGUCAGACAGAGAGUGACUGGAGCAAGGUUGUCUCGGUAGAAACCGAACAAAGUUCGUCCGAGGUUAAACCGAUAGAAGAAAUGUAGGACCCAAAAGGAUCACGGUUGACAUGAUAUGUAUUGACCCGAUUACUUUUUCGCUGUCACACUAGAUUUCAUCUUAGACGGCGGCUUCAGGUGAAUCACUGCAGGAAUACCACGUUCUAAUUCGGAAGGCGCCAUUCAACCUGAAAGGACAUUACUGAUGAUGCCUUCUUCAUUGACGAAAGUUCUUUCUGGUAGUGGUAUUUACACUUAUUGAAACGGAACACAUCUGUCAUCUCCGUUCCAAUUUCCUAUUACGAUUCCCUCAUCCCUGAGCCACUGCCGGAGUUCCAAAACGCAAAUGGAAUCGGUUUUAUGGAGCUUUCAUAGGAAAAUCAUGAUUUAUUACUUUUAAGCAUUGGAAAAUUUGACAAAUUAAUGAUACAAUUUAAUGUAGGUACGUAAUAACAUU
This is a long non-coding RNA of Uranotaenia lowii, 950 nucleotides long. RefSeq lists it as uncharacterized. The record is from RefSeq and is a predicted model, not a curated record. NCBI's taxonomy places the organism in Eukaryota, Metazoa, Arthropoda, Insecta, Diptera, Culicidae. The transcript has 3 exons.